RNAcentral lists this ribosomal RNA (253 nucleotides) under uncultured bacterium. Its description in RNAcentral is "partial 16S ribosomal RNA". It matches the Rfam family "Bacterial small subunit ribosomal RNA", at positions 524 to 776 of the family's 1533-position model. The record is from RNAcentral.
UACGUAGGGUGCAAGCGUUGUCCGGAAUUAUUGGGCGUAAAGAGCUCGUAGGCGGUUUGUUGCGUCGGCUGUGAAAUCCCGAGGCUCAACCUCGGGUCUGCAGUCGAUACGAGCAAACUAGAGUGUUGCAGGGGAGACUGGAAUUCCUGGUGUAGCGGUGAAAUGCGCAGAUAUCAGGAGGAACACCGGUGGCGAAGGCGGGUCUCUGGGCAACACCUGACACUGAGGCACGAAAGCUAGGGGAGCAAACAGG